Molecule: ribosomal RNA, 431 nt
Filed under: Rastrelliger kanagurta (Indian mackerel)
Lineage: Eukaryota; Metazoa; Chordata; Actinopteri; Scombriformes; Scombridae
Description: partial 12S ribosomal RNA
Source: RNAcentral
GCAUUUGUAACUAUCUUGGGAUGUGGGGGAUAGGCGGACCUAUAAUGCUCGUAAUCGAACUUUGGGUUUCCUGAACCGCCAUGAAAUCUAGGGGGAUCUCCUCGGACGAGACAUUGGCUAUUGGGGGCAAUUUGGAGUGGGAGGGAACAAAAAGGGCGGAUAUAUGGUGGCAGCAGUCGAGUGGGACACUUCCGGGUUAUCAUUCGUCUUAACCGUGUCGGGUUUUGCAGUCCAGCUCCACAUCGCGUACUCUCCCCUUCUUCACCCGAUGUAAGCGAUUGUAUCGCUUAGUGCCUGCUACUUGACUUUGUAAGUAGAAAUUCCUCCUAAAUCGUCAUUCACCCUUUAUCUCACAGGGUGACUUUGGCCGAGACUUCACGCAUGUGUGGCGGGCAGUGAGAGAGGUUCGACGGACUGUAAAUUAUAUUAUU